AUGAUGACUCUCGGCAACGGAUAUCUCGGCUCUCGCAUCGAUGAAGAACGUAGCGAAAUGCGAUACCUGGUGUGAAUUGCAGAAUCCCGCGAACCAUCGAGUCUUUGAACGCAAGUUGCGCCCGAGGCCACCCGGUCGAGGGCACGCCUGCCUGGGCGUCACGC
Molecule: ribosomal RNA, 164 nt
Filed under: Pinanga javana
Lineage: Eukaryota; Viridiplantae; Streptophyta; Magnoliopsida; Arecales; Arecaceae
Description: 5.8S rRNA
Rfam family: 5.8S ribosomal RNA
About the family: 5.8S ribosomal RNA (5.8S rRNA) is a component of the large subunit of the eukaryotic ribosome. It is transcribed by RNA polymerase I as part of the 45S precursor that also contains 18S and 28S rRNA.
Source: RNAcentral